Molecule: small nuclear RNA, 302 nt
Filed under: Notamacropus eugenii (tammar wallaby)
Lineage: Eukaryota; Metazoa; Chordata; Mammalia; Diprotodontia; Macropodidae
Description: 7SK RNA (ENSMEUG00000016797.1)
Rfam family: 7SK RNA
About the family: 7SK was discovered as an abundant small nuclear RNA in the mid-70s but a possible function has only recently been suggested. Two independent studies have found that 7SK RNA binds the CDK9/cyclin T complex (known as elongation factor P-TEFb). P-TEFb activates transcription by phosphorylating the C-terminal domain of RNA polymerase II.
Source: RNAcentral
UGUGUAGAUGACUCCUAGGUCUAUCUGUCACUCCACUUAUCUCCAGGGUUGAUUUGGCUGAUCUGGCUGGCUAGGUGGGGAUCCCCUUCCUCCCUCACCACUUCAUGUUCGUCCCUCCUGAAGCUGCAAGCUCAGUUGAAGAGGGAGCCCUUCCCUAUAGAGACUUAUCUUCCUUUGGUCAAGGGAACAGAAGUAACUGGGCUUGCCUACUAGAAUAUAACCCUAAUCUCUCAAACUCUACUCCAUCGUCAUCUAACUCAAUUAUGUCUAAAACAAGACUCAUUAUCUUCCCUCCAUAAAGA